GACGAACGCUGGCGGCGUGCUUAACACAUGCAAGUCGAACGAAGUGGCGAACGGGUGAGUAACGCGUAAUCAACCUGCCCUUCAGAGGGGGACACCAGUUGGAAACGACUGCUAAUCCCGCAUACUGAAGGAGGGGAUUGCGUCUGAUUAGCCAGUUGGAGGGGUAACGGCCCACCAAGGCGGUGAUCAGUCGCCGGGCUGGGAGGAUGAACGGCCACAUUGGGACUGAGACACGGCCCAGACGCCUACGGGAGGCAGGAGUGGGGAAUCGUCCGCAAUGGACGAAAGUCUGACGGAGCAACGCCGCGGUAGUGAUGACGGCCUUCGGGUUGUAAAGCUCUGUUAAUCGGGACGCGGUACCGGAAUAGAAAGCCACGGCUAACUACGUGCCAGCAGCCGCGGUAAUUC
This 408-nucleotide ribosomal RNA is filed under the name uncultured bacterium. Its description in RNAcentral is "partial 16S ribosomal RNA". It matches the Rfam family "Bacterial small subunit ribosomal RNA", at positions 28 to 526 of the family's 1533-position model. The record is from RNAcentral.